This 121-nucleotide small nucleolar RNA is filed under the name Cavia porcellus (domestic guinea pig). RNAcentral's name for it is "Small nucleolar RNA SNORA51 (ENSCPOG00000029179.2)". Lineage: Eukaryota; Metazoa; Chordata; Mammalia; Rodentia; Caviidae. The record is from RNAcentral.
GGAAGUGGUGAUUCUGGCUGUGUUCCUACAGUGACUAUACAGAAAGAGAAGGCAAGCAAAUCUGCUAUAUAUACAUUUUAGCCAAAGCCCUGAGCCGGUUCUGCACUGUGAAGAGACAUGA